UACGUAGGUCUCAAGCGUUAUCCGGAUUUACUGGGCGUAAAGUGUCCGUAGCCUGAUAUAUAAGUCCGUUUUCAAAUACUCCGACUCAAUCAGAGAAAGGGGAUGGAUACUGUAUAUCUAGAAGUUAUUAGGGGUUAGUGGAAUUUCCGGUGGAGCGGUGAAAUGUGUUGAUAUCGGAAAGAACGCCGAAAGCGAAAGCAGCUAACUAUAAUAAACUUGACGUUGAGGGACGACAGCAUGGGGAG
This 245-nucleotide ribosomal RNA is filed under the name uncultured bacterium. RNAcentral describes it as "partial 16S ribosomal RNA". It matches the Rfam family "Bacterial small subunit ribosomal RNA", at positions 524 to 768 of the family's 1533-position model. The record is from RNAcentral.